The sequence is a transfer RNA, 91 nucleotides long. It matches the Rfam family "tRNA". From Rfam's summary of the family: Transfer RNA (tRNA) molecules are approximately 80 nucleotides in length. Their secondary structure includes four short double-helical elements and three loops (D, anti-codon, and T loops). Further hydrogen bonds mediate the characteristic L-shaped molecular structure. tRNAs have two regions of fundamental functional importance: the anti-codon, which is responsible for specific mRNA codon recognition, and the 3' end, to which the tRNAs corresponding amino acid is attached (by aminoacyl-tRNA synthetases). tRNAs cope with the degeneracy of the genetic code in two manners: having more than one tRNA (with a specific anti-codon) for a particular amino acid; and 'wobble' base-pairing, i.e. permitting non-standard base-pairing at the 3rd anti-codon position.
GGGCCCGUAGCUUAGUCUGGAGCCUUUGGCGGAUAAUUAGAGCGCCGGUCUUAUAAGCCGGAGGUCGUGAGUUCGAAUCUCGCCGGGCCCA